Molecule: ribosomal RNA, 494 nt
Filed under: uncultured bacterium
Lineage: Bacteria
Description: partial 16S ribosomal RNA
Rfam family: Bacterial small subunit ribosomal RNA
Source: RNAcentral
GACGAACGCUGGCGGCGUGCUUAACACAUGCAAGUCGAACGGAAAGGCCUGCUUUCCCUUGUGGAUUGCGGGUACUCGAGUGGCGAACGGGUGAGUAACACGUGAGUGAUCUGCCCCCAACUUGGGUAUAAGCCUGGGAAACUGGGUCUAAUUCCCGAUAGGACUGCAGGGUGGUGCCUGUGGUGGAAAACGAUUUUCUAGUGGUUGGGGAUGAGCUCGCGGCCUAUCAGCUUGUUGGUGGGGUAAUGGCCUACCAAGGCGGCGACGGGUAGCCGGCCUGGGAGGGUGGACGGCCACAUUGGGACUGGGAUACGGCCCAGACUCCUACGGGAGGCAGGAGUGGGGAAUAUUGCACAAUGGGCGGAAGCCUGAUGCAGCGACGCCGCGUGGGGGAUGACGGCCUUCGGGUUGUAAACUCCUUUCGACCGCGAGGAAGCCACCUGGUUGGAAGGGUGGUGACGGUAGUGGUAGAAGAAGCACCGGCUAACUACGUG